CGGUCUAAGCACCUUGGUAAACAGGGGCCCUGUGUGGCAGUGCCUGGACGUUGGGCAAUGCCCUCUCUCUUUGGGCGAUCGUCGCCAUGGGCCCGGGAUUUUAGGAAUGCAGCAGGCCUAAGCAGGCUGAGAAAAGUUCCGGCGGCGAUUCAAGGAUGCCCACGGGGAACCCCAAGUGUCCCCACGAUGCUUCGGGCCUGUGCAGACAGUGUGAAGGAAAGAGUUCUAGAGAGAGAAGACAAAGUCAGUCUGUGUUUAGAAAAAAACCCAAGGCUGAAAAUUGAAGAACUGAAUAUGCAGCUUGGAAAGCGAACUGGACACAAGGAAAGUCUUGUCAGGUAUGUUGGAUGUUAAGUCUUUGUGUUAAGGCUCAUUUUUCCAUGUCCCUCAUUUCCUCCUCACAAAACAAAUGUGAAAACCUUUGCAAGGCAGGCUCUUGCUGAAAUUAUUAUGUGGUGGAGACACUACUUCACAAACACAUUUCAUCCACUUGUUUAACUCUCACACAUGGUUAUAGCCUGCAUGUUGAUGGAAAUAAGAGUGAUAAUCUGACACAGGCCAUUUUUCUUACUUGGCAAGAAAAGUUGACAAAUUUCUCCCCUUAGACGCCAUAAAAAUAAUUUGGCCUAGACAAUUUGUACUAAGAUUAUGAUGUUGUACGUGAAAACAAUAAAAUUCCUAAGCUCUGUUAGCAUACUGUGAAUGGUGAAUUAUGUAAGCAAUGGUGAGAAGACCGAAGCUUUAUUUACAAGAACAAUAUUGGCACUCUGUGAGUGCUGACCAAAGCAAAUGUGUGAAAUGCUUCUGUGUGAUAAAAUAGAGAAAGGUGAAAAGAGGUCCCAGGUAGAUUUUACGUUUGUUUUGUUUUCCAUUUUUGUCGGUCUGGUGCUUUUUUGUUUUAGUGAGUUAUAAUCCUAAUCGGGAGUCUUAGUUGAUGCAUCCCACUGGCUCUUCUCCACAGUCCAGAAGAAAGAGAUUAAAGCUCCUGGUGGGCUGGGCGAGUGAGUCUGUGAACGAAAAGAGAGUUAAUGUAAACGAGGCAGCAGAGUGUCAAAGAACCAUGGCACAAAAGUUCUUCGUCUCGUUACCGGGACUGUGUAAGGGAACCCGUUCUGAUUUCUGACAAAAAAAAAUAGCCUUCUGAAAAAGCCCCGUUAAAUUAACGGAGGACACAGCAAUCAAACAUUUUAGAAAGAAUAAUCAUAUUGAUAAAACAAACAUAUUAGUGCUGUUACAUUUUUAAAUAUUUACGUUAAAAAUUAGAUAUUUACUUUAAAACUCUAUUUGAUUUUGAAAAGAAUACACAUAUGGAUAGAACAAAGAUAUU
RNAcentral lists this long non-coding RNA (1327 nucleotides) under Callithrix jacchus (white-tufted-ear marmoset). RNAcentral's name for it is "lncRNA (ENSCJAG00000071698.1)". The record is from RNAcentral. Lineage: Eukaryota; Metazoa; Chordata; Mammalia; Primates; Cebidae.